UCGGUGUUAAACAGUGUCAGUAGUUGCUGU
Molecule: non-coding RNA, 30 nt
Filed under: Homo sapiens (human)
Lineage: Eukaryota; Metazoa; Chordata; Mammalia; Primates; Hominidae
Source: RNAcentral